UUCGCCCUUAGAGUUUGAUCCUGGCUCAAGACGAACGCUGGCGGCGCGCCUAACACAUGCAAGUCGAACGAGAGAUGAGGAGCUUGCUCUUCAAAUCGAGUGGCGAACGGGUGAGUAACGCGUGAGGAACCUGCCUCAAAGAGGGGGACAACAGUUGGAAACGACUGCUAAUACCGCAUAAAGCCCACGGCUCGGCAUCGAGCAGAGGGAAAAGGAGCGAUCCGCUUUGAGAUGGCCUCGCGUCCGAUUAGCUAGUUGGUGAGGUAACGGCCCACCAAGGCAACGAUCGGUAGCCGGACUGAGAGGUUGAACGGCCACAUUGGGACUGAGACACGGCCCAGACUCCUGCGGGAGGCAGCAGUGGGGAAUAUUGCACAAUGGGGGGAACCCUGAUGCAGCGACGCCGCGUGGAGGAAGAAGGUCUUCGGAUUGUAAACUCCUGUUGUUGAGGAAGAUAAUGACGGUACUCAACAAGGAAGUGACGGCUAACUACGUGCCAGCAGCCGCGGUAAAACGUAGGUCACAAGCGUUGUCCGGAAUUACUGGGUGUAAAGGGAGCGCAGGCGGGAGAACAAGUUGGAAGUGAAAUCCAUGGGCUCAACCCAUGAACUGCUUUCAAAACUGUUUUUCUUGAGUAGUGCAGAGGUAGGCGGAAUUCCCGGUGUAGCGGUGGAAUGCGUAGAUAUCGGGAGGAACACCAGUGGCGAAGGCGGCCUACUGGGCACCAACUGACGCUGAGGCUCGAAAGUGUGGGUAGCAAACAGGAUUAGAUACCCUGGUAGUCCACACCGUAAACGAUGAUUACUAGGUGUUGGAGGAUUGACCCCUUCAGUGCCGCAGGUAACACAAUAAGUAAUCCACCUGGGGAGUACGACCGCAAGGUUGAAACUCAAAGGAAUUGACGGGGGCCCGCACAAGCAGUGGAGUAUGUGGUUUAAUUCGACGCAACGCGAAGAACCUUACCAAGUCUUGACAUCCUGCGACGCACAUAGAAAUAUGUGUUUCCUUCGGGACGCAGAGACAGGUGGUGCAUGGUUGUCGUCAGCUCGUGUCGUGAGAUGUUGGGUUAAGUCCCGCAACGAGCGCAACCCUUAUGGUCAGUUACUACGCAAGAGGACUCUGGCCAGACUGCCGUUGACAAAACGGAGGAAGGUGGGGAUGACGUCAAAUCAUCAUGCCCUUUAUGACUUGGGCUACACACGUACUACAAUGGCGUUAAACAAAGAGAAGCAAGACCGCGAGGUGGAGCAAAACUCAGAAACAACGUCCCAGUUCGGACUGCAGGCUGCAACUCGCCUGCACGAAGUCGGAAUUGCUAGUAAUCGUGGAUCAGCAUGCCACGGUGAAUACGUUCCCGGGCCUUGUACU
This 1368-nucleotide ribosomal RNA is filed under the name uncultured bacterium. Its description in RNAcentral is "bacterial SSU rRNA". It matches the Rfam family "Bacterial small subunit ribosomal RNA". The record is from RNAcentral.